This 228-nucleotide ribosomal RNA is filed under the name uncultured bacterium. RNAcentral describes it as "partial 16S ribosomal RNA". It matches the Rfam family "Bacterial small subunit ribosomal RNA", at positions 28 to 257 of the family's 1533-position model. The record is from RNAcentral.
GACGAACGCUGGCGGCGUGCUUAACACAUGCAAGUCGAGCGGUAAGGCCCUUUCGGGGGUACACGAGCGGCGAACGGGUGAGUAACACGUGGGUGACCUGCCCUCAGCUCUGGGAUAAGCCUGGGAAACCGGGUCUAAUACUGGAUAUGACUCCAUGACGCAUGUUGUGGGGUGGAAAGCCUUGUGCGGCUGAGGAUGGGCCCGCGGCCUAUCAGCUUGUUGGUGGGG